AGUGAACGCUGGCGGUAGGCCUAACACAUGCAAGUCGAACGGCAGCACAGUAAGAGCUUGCUCUUACGGGUGGCGAGUGGCGGACGGGUGAGGAAUACAUCGGAAUCUACUUUUUCGUGGGGGAUAACGUAGGGAAACUUACGCUAAUACCGCAUACGACCUACGGGUGAAAGCAGGGGAUCUUCGGACCUUGCGCGAUUGAAUGGGCCGAUGUCGGAUUAGCUAGUUGGCGGGGUAAAGGCCCACCAAGGCGACGAUCCGUAGCUGGCCUGAGAGGAUGAUCAGCCACACUGGAACUGAGACACGGUCCAGACUCCUACGGGAGGCAGCAGUGGGGAAUAUUGGACAAUGGGCGCAAGCCUGAUCCAGCCAUACCGCGUGGGUGAAGAAGGCCUUCGGGUUGUAAAGCCCUUUUGUUGGGAAAGAAAAGCAGCAGGUUAAUACCCCGCUGUUCUGACGGUACCCAAAGAAUAAGCACCGGCUAACUUCGUG
RNAcentral lists this ribosomal RNA (492 nucleotides) under uncultured bacterium. Its description in RNAcentral is "partial 16S ribosomal RNA". It matches the Rfam family "Bacterial small subunit ribosomal RNA", at positions 29 to 507 of the family's 1533-position model. The record is from RNAcentral.